RNAcentral lists this ribosomal RNA (198 nucleotides) under uncultured bacterium. RNAcentral describes it as "partial 16S ribosomal RNA". It matches the Rfam family "Bacterial small subunit ribosomal RNA", at positions 1288 to 1500 of the family's 1533-position model. The record is from RNAcentral.
ACGUUCGGAUUGUAGGCUGAAACUCGCCUACAUGAAGCUGGAAUUGCUAGUAAUCACAGGUCAGCAUACUGUGGUGAAUACGUUCCCGGGCCUUGUACACACCGCCCGUCACACCAUGAGAGUUGAGAAUACCCGAAGCCCAUGUCAAAGUGGUCGAAGGUAGGCUUGAUGAUUGGGGUGAAGUCGUAACAAGGUAAC